AGUAGUCAUAUGCUUGUCUCAAAGAUUAAGCCAUGCAUGUCUCAGUACAAGCCAAAUUAAGGUGAAACCGCGAAAGGCUCAUUAAAUCAGUUAUGGUUCCUUAGAUCGUACCCACAUUUACUUGGAUAACUGUGGUAAUUCUAGAGCUAAUACAUGCAAACAGAGCUCCGACCGGAGACGGAAGGAGCGCUUUUAUUAGAUCAAAACCAAUCGGCGGCGGGUUCGCCCGUUCGUCGUACAACUUGGUGAAUCUGAAUAACUUUCUGCUGAUCGCAUGGUCUCGCACCGGCGACGCAUCUUUCAAAUGUCUGCCUUAUCAACUGUCGAUGGUAGGUUCUGCGCCUACCAUGGUUGUAACGGGUAACGGGGAAUCAGGGUUCGAUUCCGGAGAGGGAGCCUGAGAAACGGCUACCACAUCCAAGGAAGGCAGCAGGCGCGCAAAUUACCCACUCCCGGCACGGGGAGGUAGUGACGAAAAAUAACGAUACGGGACUCAUCCGAGGCCCCGUAAUCGGAAUGAGUACACUCUAAACCCUUUAACGAGGAUCAAUUGGAGGGCAAGUCUGGUGCCAGCAGCCGCGGUAAUUCCAGCUCCAAUAGC
This 601-nucleotide ribosomal RNA is filed under the name Macrelmis leonilae. Its description in RNAcentral is "SSU rRNA". It matches the Rfam family "Eukaryotic small subunit ribosomal RNA", at positions 19 to 598 of the family's 1831-position model. RNAcentral also lists the same sequence under 3 other names. The record is from RNAcentral. Lineage: Eukaryota; Metazoa; Arthropoda; Insecta; Coleoptera; Elmidae.